This 487-nucleotide long non-coding RNA is filed under the name Mustela putorius furo (domestic ferret). RNAcentral describes it as "lncRNA (ENSMPUG00000024672.1)". Lineage: Eukaryota; Metazoa; Chordata; Mammalia; Carnivora; Mustelidae. The record is from RNAcentral.
AAGAAAACUUUACUCUGAAAGAAAAAAAGGGGUGAGGAGGCCCAAAGGGCUUUUUGCUUAUGUGGUUGAUAGCAAUCAAUAUUAAUUUAUUAGAAAAUAAAACCUGUAGCAUGCUUCUGUCCGUGGUUUUCCUAAUUGGAAAGCUGGAAUAACCUUUGGCUUUUAAAACAGCUCAUGGCAGGGGAGGAGUCAAGAUCGCAGAGGAGUAGCAUGAGAUGACAUCAGGUCAUAGGAGUUCAGCUAGAUAAUUAUCAAACCAUUCCAAACACCUAAAAAUCCAAUAGGAGAUUGAAGAGGAGAAGAGCAGCAACUCUAGGAACAGAAAACCAACCACUUUCUGAAAGGGCAGCACAAUUCUUCCUCAGGCAAAGACACUUGAGAAUCACUACAACAGACCUCUCCCCCAGAAGAUCAGCAAGAAAUCCAGCCAAGAUGAAGCUCACUGAUCAAGGAGAACAUUGGAAUUCCAGAGGAGGGGAAAGCAAAG